AAUAGAUACCCUGGUAGUCCACGCCCUAAACUAUGUCAACUAGUUGUCGGGGAAGAAAUUCCUUGGUAACGCAGCUAACGCGUGAAGUUGACCGCCUGGGGAGUACGGCCGCAAGGUUAAAACUCAAAGGAAUUGACGGGGACCCGCACAAGCGGUGGAUUAUGUGGAUUAAUUCGAUGCAACGCGAAAAACCUUACCUACCCUUGACAUGUACGGAAUUCCGCAGAGAUGUGGAAGUGCCCGAAAGGGAACCGUAACACAGGUGCUGCAUGGCUGUCGUCAGCUCGUGUCGUGAGAUGUUGGGUUAAGUCCCGCAACGAGCGCAACCCUUGCCAUUAGUUGCUACAUUCAGUUGGGCACUCUAAUGGGACCGCCGGUGACAAACCGGAGGAAGGUGGGGAUGACGUCAAGUCCUCAUGGCCCUUAUGGGUAGGGCUUCACACGUAAUACAAUGGUCGGUACAGAGGGCUGCCAACCCGCAAGGGGGAGCUAAUCCCAGAAAGCCGAUCGUAGUCCGGAUUGUAGUCUGCAACUCGACUGCAUGAAGCCGGAA
RNAcentral lists this ribosomal RNA (553 nucleotides) under uncultured bacterium. Its description in RNAcentral is "bacterial SSU rRNA". It matches the Rfam family "Bacterial small subunit ribosomal RNA", at positions 777 to 1331 of the family's 1533-position model. The record is from RNAcentral.